This 374-nucleotide ribosomal RNA is filed under the name uncultured prokaryote. Its description in RNAcentral is "bacterial SSU rRNA". It matches the Rfam family "Bacterial small subunit ribosomal RNA", at positions 524 to 896 of the family's 1533-position model. The record is from RNAcentral.
UACGUAGGUGGCGAGCGUUGUCCGGAAUUACUGGGUGUAAAGGGCGUGUAGGCGGGGAUGUAAGUCAGAUGUGAAAUACCGCAGCUUAACUGCGGGGCUGCAUCUGAAACUAUGUUUCUUGAGUGUCGGAGAGGAAAGUGGAAUUCCCAGUGUAGCGGUGAAAUGCGUAGAUAUUGGGAGGAACACCAGUGGCGAAGGCGACUUUCUGGACGAUAACUGACGCUGAGGCGCGAAAGCGUGGGGAGCAAACAGGAUUAGAUACCCUGGUAGUCCACGCUGUAAACGAUGGAUACUAGGUGUAGGAGGUAUCGACCCCUUCUGUGCCGGAGUUAACACAAUAAGUAUCCCACCUGGGGAGUACGGCCGCAAGGUUG